This is a long non-coding RNA of Hylaeus anthracinus, 5120 nucleotides long. RefSeq lists it as uncharacterized. NCBI's taxonomy places the organism in Eukaryota, Metazoa, Arthropoda, Insecta, Hymenoptera, Colletidae. The transcript is spliced from 2 exons. The record is from RefSeq and is a predicted model, not a curated record.
UCGUGUCCUAUAUCAUACAUCACAUUACAAUACGCAUAGUGUCUUUUAACAUUUCCCUGUGGCGCGUCUCUCUAUCACUCUUUGGUAAUUGGCAACCGACGACCCGGCGACACGAGACACGUUUUUUUUUUUUUUCCGUCGCGCGUGUGAAGAGGAUUUACACGUCCCGGUUCUGCAGUGCGACUAUUAUACUUCGGUGGUCACACACGCAUAAUAUUAUAGAUAUAUAUAUAUAUAUAUAUCGUCGUCCCGAUUUCUACCGGUCGAUCUCUUUCUGCGCUUCCGUUUUUCCGUUUUUUUACUUUUUUUUUCCGCCGAUAUCUUCCGGUUUCUAUGGCCCGUUCGUUUCUCAAAAGUCGCGUAUCUCCGUUGUCUAUCACCCAGCGACUGAUAAGCUUCACGUGUAUUUUUAUAUAUAUAUAUAUAUUUUUUUUUUUUUUUUUUAUUUAUUUAUUCGUGACGACUCUGUCGAGGGACUCGUUCGUAUACGUGCUUGCGAGGGUCCGGAGGAGGCGUGCGUCCCGAUAGUUCUCGUUUUUUUAUUUUUUUUUUUCGUCGACCUUUUCUCGGUAUAUGCAUAUAUUCCCGACGCCAACCGACGACGCAUUUGGACUGACCGGUUGCAACGUGUUUUUCGAGAAUAUUAUCGAGACUACCAACUGCCAUUAAUCGUUACGUCCGUAAGGUCACGAAGGAGGUUGUGUAUGUGCAUUUUGGAUCACCGCAGUUUUUUUUUUUUUUUUUUUUUCCUAUCCGACGUUACACACGUCCGGUACAACCGUAAUCUUCGAGACGACUUGUAUUAGCGGAUCUCUCGUCGUCGACCCGUGCGACGAAGCUGUGGUCUCCUUAUGUUCAAGUUUCGCACGACGCACGUGUGUAUAGGAUCUAUGCGUACCGAUCGGGCAAGUUCCGUCUUUUUUUUUUAAAUUUAUUUAUUUAUUUUUUUUGUUAUUUUUUAAUCAGUUUUCAGUCCGUCGGUUACACGCGCAGCCCGGACGAAUAUUCACCUUCGUGUUCACGUGUUCCUAAUUACGUAACGCUCGGACGUAUAUAGACGCACACCCAUCUACGUUUAUGCGAGCAAAGAUACACGUUUGUCUGUCGGCGGAACAGAGAAACGAAAGAUUGUCGGGGAAAGAACUCUCCUCGGGGACGAAUUUCGGCGACGAGCUCCGUUCCUAAAUUUCUCUCGUGUCUAGACGCGUGUCCUGCGAGUGAAAUUCCAGAGUAUUUUGCGGCUAACACUAGCGAGUCGAUCCGAACUUUGCGCGUCGCAACCAUAGUGGAAUUCGACAUAUUUUGGCAGGAGUCAAGAUUGCGUUUCAACACCGAACCUACCACAGAGGGGGUUGAAUUACGGAACUCGCAAAGUUCGAUCUACAGACGAUUUCUGUGAAGGGAAUAGUUACUUGGUUUCUGUCUCAACUUUACAAUAGAUUCAUCUUCACGACGUAACAGUACAGUAAACUUCCGAAUAACACUUAACGUAAAGUAUCAUGCGCGUUAUACGGGAGUCUCUGUGUUUCUAACGCUUACGCGACCGAUGAAACGGCUACUACUGGCUUUUCCAUUUCCUUUCCAGAGUUUUCAACGAGUCUCGCUAAGAGAAUGUAGACGCAUCGCUAGGAUACGAAAGAAUCGGUGAAGUCGGUUCAUUUACAAUUGAAUUGACGUGUAAGUAAACCUUUGUGAUUUAUUGAAAAUAAAGGGAACGAGGAUAUAUUCAAGGUACCGCGUUCAAUUCGACGCGCAACGACGCUUGAAUAUUUGUCACAGAACGUAGAGGCAAAAGAAUGAAUGGAUUAUCGAGAUUCAAACGAGCGACUUCUGGAGAGACCUGCAGAGCGUAGAGAUAUACUCUUGUUCUUAGUUUUCGAAAACAGGUCCAAUUUACAAGCGAACAAGGGUACGAAUUUCGAGUCGCUGACGAUUCUGUAGAAAUGAAUUCUGUGCCUUUGUAACUUUGGUUCAAGUAGAAAUAUGUAAUCGCCAUUACCAACCUCAUUGGUACUCGACCUCAUGAUCAUUACGAUGUAUAUGUAUGUACAUAGGAGAAUUACUAGCUAUAGAUCUUUGUUUCACACUAACGUUUCAAUGGAUUACGUGUGUGCUUGAUAAUUACAAUAACUGUAUUGAUAAUAACAGUAAGCAAAAUUGAGUGGCUAUUAAAGUUCGUACAGAUACACUGCAACGACCGUCAGGUUGAGACUUUAACGUACCAAAACGACGAGUAAAUACAUCUGUUUAAACAAGAGUUACAAAGGAUCGGAUAUAAAGACACAGAAUUAAUUUCUAUACGUCUAAUAAUAUUCAGACACUUGGCAAUUUAACUUUGUAUUACAAACUACAAAUCGCUAAGUGUCCCGGUACUAAAUGUACUCGGCUAAACAUCUACAACGAUUUACAGAGUGUUACAAUGCAACGUGAGUACCAGAAACGAGAGAAUAAUAAAGAAAUAGAUAUUUGGAUCCUGAACGAUGUUCUAAUUCAGAUAGAGAGAAGGGAAGGACUUGGGGACGUCGAAGCCGACGGUACAAAGGGAUGAUCGAGCAAACUCGUGGACGAGGACGUAAGGGCGAGAGCGAGAUAUCGAAACGCGUUCAUAGAUCGGGGAUGAUCGUGGCCGAUCGCGCGAGGCCAUAACGCGCGACGCGCAGGAAGCCAGCGAAGCGCGCGCGUUCGAUCACGCGAACCGACUACGAAACAACGCCUCACUUUUGCUGUUCUUCUUUCUUUUUUUUUUUUUCUACGCGAGUCUCGCGCGGAUAGGACGAGGGCUGGUUUUCUGGCUGAUCGAAGAAGAAGGGGUGGACUUUGAGAAGCGGCGAAAAAACGGUGAGAGAUAAUUAAAGAACACGUCAACGCCGUUUUCCUUUUUGUUUUGUGAAUUCCACAAGUACAUUGUUAUUACAUUCGUUUUUCUUUAAUCCAUUAUCAUUACGAUUAUCAUUAUUAAUUAUAAUUAUCAUUGAAAACACGGGUCUUACCAACGAGAAAAAAAAAAAAGAGGAAAAUAAUAUUGGUCUGUGGGGGGGGGAGUGGAGAUAAAAGAAAAUGAAUAAUAAUAAUAAAAAAAAAAAAAUCCUCGAGAGGAGAGAAGUAUCACGCCAUCGACGUGUGUAUACGCUUGCUCGAAAAAAAAGAAAAAAGAAGAAGAAACGAGAAACGGUGAUCAUCAUCGUUAUUAUUAUACGUAUAAGCUUAAACGGAGCGCACUUGCGGUAACCGCAAUUAAUUCUUCGGUAAUUCUUUACGUCAAUUAAUCCUAGUAUGUUAAUAAAACGGUAUUAUUACGUUACUACACGCUAACGAUAUAAUGUUCGCACGACCCGCUUAGGUUCCCAUACAGAAUCGACGCAUCAUCAUUCUACGAAUAAUCUACGGUGUGUGGUAUCUCCAAUUUGUAACUUUUUGUGUAUUUCUCUUUCUCUCUCUCUCUCUCUCUCUCGCUCUCUCUCUCUCUCUCAUCGAUUUUCAUAAUCUAUAUUUCGUCUUGUUCCUCGAAAGAAAGACUGCGAAGGUGUGCACGAUCUUCUGUUUAUACUCUAUGUGUGUGUGUGUGUGUGUGUGUGUGUUUUGUAUUACGUGUAUAUAAAUUGUUUGUUAAUUGAGACGACGCUAUUAACAACGAGAUAUAGAGGAGAAACAAAAAUGCGUUCGAGAGUUCACAGUGCACGGUUUCCGUGGUGGUCGGAUGGAGAACCGAAAUUACGGGGAGAAAAAAAUUUGCGAUCGACCGAUCACACGCACAAUCGUAUCGUUCUUGUCCUAAGCCGACGCCAUAUAUUGCAUGAUCCUCGACAAACACGCUGAGCAGCAAACGUUUCGUGUCUCGCAUAAGAUAAUAACGUUCCUUUCUUUUUGGUUUUUUUUUUUUUUUUACAAUUAUACUUUCACACGCAUCACGGAAGUCCGUUUGGUUGAGCAAAACGUGCCGUACGGAAUAGCUACUCGAAAAUCAUCGUCGCGACGUUCCGCUUUAUAAGAAGUGAAACAAAGGUAUCGUUCUCACACGAUGCUCCGAUUUUGUGAUAGCGACGCGUUACGAAGCGCAGCCGAUCGCACAAAAGGGGUCGGUGUCUUUCUUUUCCAUCUAUAUCCAUAAAAAAAAACGUAACUAACAACGAUUCUCAUACGUUCAGAUACGUAACAUGAACAAAAUUCACACAAUACCGGCUAUCACGUUGGUCAUCGAAAGUAGAGCGUUUCCUCCAGGUACACGACCCGAUCGACUGUGUUUUCGCAAGGGGAGAAAAGAAAGCACGUGAAUUGUGUCCACGGAUGGAAGGCAAAGCAGGCACGCGCGCGCGCGUCAUCGUCACAGAAACGGUCAUCUCAAGAAAUCGUCGACGCGGUGUUGUGUUGUUUAGCGUCGCCAAGCAUCGUCCUACCGAAACGUUCGUCGAGCUCUUUACAUUCCUCGAUUACCUUCUAAACGAGAGAAACGACGGUUAUCGUUUCGCGGUGGAAAACUGACCGCCGUGAAUCGACACGCGAUUACAUAUAUAUACAUAUAUAUAUUUUUGACGAGUACAGGGUUCGAAAGAUUCACUCGGUAGGAGGAUGCUAUAUCGUCAUCAUCUUCUUACAUCGAAGAAAACGCCUACAUACGAUUAAACGGCGGUGUCUCGUCGAUUACGAGGUUAAAUUACGGAAAGUCUGUCUAACACGACGGGGAACGAAUAUAAUAAGCGACGUGCAUAUAUCUUCGUGGAACAAGGGAGAACCGGACCGGAGUGAAGAAGGGGAAACGUGUGUGAGACAAGGUCUGCAAGAUUCGACGAAAAUCCGGCUCGUGUUUUCUGUUUGCUGCUUAAUUUUCUCGUCUGGCUUUUUCGGAUUUUUUUUGUUUGUUUGUUUCUUUUCAUGUAUUUUUUUUUGUAUUUGUUUUUUUUUUGUUUUCUUUUCUUUCUUUUUUUUUUCUCGUCAAAAUAUGCGCACUGACGGCGAGGGAUUGGUACAUGUGUUUUUUUUUUUAUUUUUUUUUUUCUGUUAGAGUCAGCCGAUUAUAGUAGAUCUUCGCGCGUGCAGAUCGACAGACGGCCAAGAGUAUCUCGGUCCCGAGGCUUCCUGCUAGCGACAGACAGACCCGACAGACGACAGACAGACCGACAGAC